AUGAACGCUGGCGGCGUGCCUAAUACAUGCAAGUCGAGCGAACGGACGAGAAGCUUGCUUCUCUGAUGUUAGCGGCGGACGGGUGAGUAACACGUGGAUAACCUACCUAUAAGACUGGGAUAACUUCGGGAAACCGUAGCUAAUACCGGAUAAUAUUUUGAACCGCAUGGUUCAAAAGUGAAAGACGGUCUUGCUGUCACUUAUAGAUGGAUCCGCGCUGCAUUAGCUAGUUGGUAAGGUAACGGCUUACCAAGGCAACGAUGCAUAGCCGACCUGAGAGGGUGAUCGGCCACACUGGAACUGAGACACGGUCCAGACUCCUACGGGAGGCAGCAGUAGGGAAUCUUCCGCAAUGGGCGAAAGCCUGACGGAGCAACGCCGCGUGAGUGAUGAAGGUCUUCGGAUCGUAAAACUCUGUUAUUAGGGAAGAACAUAUGUGUAAGUAACUGUGCACAUCUUGACGGUACCUAAUCAGAAAGCCACGGCUGACUACGUG
Molecule: ribosomal RNA, 496 nt
Filed under: uncultured bacterium
Lineage: Bacteria
Description: partial 16S ribosomal RNA
Rfam family: Bacterial small subunit ribosomal RNA
Source: RNAcentral